This 87-nucleotide transfer RNA is filed under the name Christensenia aesculifolia. RNAcentral's name for it is "tRNA-Lys". It matches the Rfam family "tRNA". From Rfam's summary of the family: Transfer RNA (tRNA) molecules are approximately 80 nucleotides in length. Their secondary structure includes four short double-helical elements and three loops (D, anti-codon, and T loops). Lineage: Eukaryota; Viridiplantae; Streptophyta; Polypodiopsida; Marattiales; Marattiaceae. The record is from RNAcentral.
GGGUUGCUAACUCAAAGGUAGAGUACUCGGCUCUUAAAGAAUCUACUUUCAUCCGACUAGUUCCGGGUUCGAGCCCCGGGCAACCCA